CGAAGAGGAAGCAUGACACGCAGCGUGAGUAAAGCAAGGAGAAACCUCAGACAGAGGAAUUCACUUGAUGGAGAGCUGCAGAGGAACUACACUUCCUAUUGUCUGACCUAUGACCUCUCACCCCGUGGCAGUAUGGGUCAUAUUUUCCACAUGCCGAGCUCGGGGACCUGUCUCGGCAUCCAGGAGGGGAACGAGGAAUGUUGGGAGUAGCUGGCAGCAGAUGCUCUGUUGUUUUGGAAAAAAAAAAAGAAAAAACACUAUACCAGCUGUGCAAUCAAAAGGACCCUACGCAGUCUGGCUGAAUUAUGGAGGAAACCUUUGGAAAUAAAAGGGAAAGUAACCGCCAGGAGCUGCUGAUCUACUACACUUGAUUAACCAAUCGUCAACAAAUAUGAGCACCUUUUUACAAGCAGAAGUUUUUACAGUGUGGUGGUAAUACAAUACCAAUGAGGAAAUGAGGAAAAAUCUUAGAGAAGCAAUUGCUGUUGUCCAUUAAUAUGGGAAGGGUUAUAAGGCCAUUUCAGAACAAUCUGAAGUCCAUCACUCUCCGGUAAGAAAGAUUAUUCACAAGUGAAAGAUACUGAAGACGUCUGCCAAUCUUCCCAGGAGUCGACAUCCCAGCAAAUUCACCCCAAGGUCAGACUGUGCAAAGCUCAGAGACGCUACCAAAAAAAGCUUACGUUUGCAGAACUGCAUUUAAACCAGUGGUUCCCAAACUUUCUUUGCUGGGCCCCCCUUUGUUUUACAAGAAAAUCUUUGUGCCCCCCUGGCACAAACGCAUCCUCCAACCACACACGCCCAUAUUUUGCAUAUAAACUCCAUUGCAGUUUAUUUCACACCUCAAACCUUUAGUAAACAUUAAAAAAAAUGAAAGUAAACUGCAAUAAAUUAGAGGUUACAAUAAAAUAAACUACCAACACUUUUAAAUAACAGAAAAACAAACCAUCUUUAUGGUGUAAUUAUUAUACGUGUAGUUUUUUGUUACUGUGUAAGAAUACUCAAUAUUGCUAUCAAUACAUUUUUCACAAAAUGCCUCUCUGUGCAAACAUAAACAACUGUGGGAUACUGUUUGUCCGGGAUUUGGACAGCCCAGCGGGUGCUCCCGAUGCAGGGGAAACAAAUUCUGAUCGGGAUACCUACCUUGGCGCCACCGUUGUGCAGGAAAGCAGAGGUGACUGCUUUUGAUACUAUGCUGACACUAUGGGGCUAUAUGCACUAACCUCCUCGGAACAGCAGAGGGAGCACUUUUGACAGUCUUCUGGGAGCCGGUUCCGCAUUGAAAAUGUGGUUGUGCAAUGCCUUUGCAAAGCUGAUCAUUCUCACUACAAGCCAGAGGAGGGAGCCAACUGGUCAACAAUGAAUCCUUUGUAUAGUCAUGGUAUAGCAUGGCACAUGGUGAACAAAGUGAUCUACUGUCACAUUCCUAUGUACAUUUCAAAACGUGUCAUCACCAUCACUCGGAGCAUGUUUUGACUCCAUGUGGAUACAGCAGAUCUGACCUUGCUUCUGAGCUUCAGUGAUGCUCUCCUCUGAUGGAUCUGCCAAAAAACAGAACAGAUGAUGGCAAACAGGCAUGUUCACAGUGCUGGUAUUUGGUCCCAUUCAGCAACAUGCAUGUGGUAUUUUUUUUUAAACAAGAAAAUGUGGGAUGUAAAAAUAAAACUUAACAGUCCAUACUGUUGUUUCAAAAAUGUUUCUUUAUUUAGA
Molecule: long non-coding RNA, 1707 nt
Organism: Astatotilapia calliptera (eastern happy)
Lineage: Eukaryota; Metazoa; Chordata; Actinopteri; Cichliformes; Cichlidae
Source: Ensembl